This 484-nucleotide ribosomal RNA is filed under the name uncultured bacterium. RNAcentral's name for it is "partial 16S ribosomal RNA". It matches the Rfam family "Bacterial small subunit ribosomal RNA", at positions 30 to 507 of the family's 1533-position model. The record is from RNAcentral.
AUUGAACGCUGGCGGCAGGCCUAACACAUGCAAAUCGAGCGGAUGAAGGGAGCUUGCUCCUGGAUUCAGCGGCGGACGGGUGAGUAAUGCCUAGGAAUCUGCCUGGUAGUGGGGGAUAACGUCCGGAAACGGGCGCUAAUACCGCAUACGUCCUGAGGGAGAAAGUGGGGGAUCUUCGGACCUCACGCUAUCAGAUGAGCCUAGGUCGGAUUAGCUAGUUGGUGGGGUAAAGGCCUACCAAGGCGACGAUCCGUAACUGGUCUGAGAGGAUGAUCAGUCACACUGGAACUGAGACACGGUCCAGACUCCUACGGGAGGCAGCAGUGGGGAAUAUUGGGCAAUGGGCGAAAGCCUGAUCCAGCCAUGCCGCGUGUGUGAAGAAGGUCUUCGGAGUGUAAAGCACUUUAAGUUGGGAGAAAGGGCAGUAAGUUAAUACCUUGCUGUUUUGACGUUACCGACAGAAGAAGCACCGGCUAACUUCGUG